Stomoxys calcitrans (stable fly) is the source of this 339-nucleotide long non-coding RNA. RefSeq lists it as uncharacterized. NCBI's taxonomy places the organism in Eukaryota, Metazoa, Arthropoda, Insecta, Diptera, Muscidae. The transcript is spliced from 2 exons. The record is from RefSeq and is a predicted model, not a curated record.
UGUUUAUUUGAAAAUAUUUCAAAACGGGAAAGAAGUUGGGUUUAAAGUUAAAAAAAAAAACACUAAUAAAUCGGAAAAAUACUUAAUUAAAUUCAAGUCAAUCGAAUGAUAUUUCUAAGCUCUAAUAAGAUGAUACUCUCGGUACUCCGUAAAUAAUUCAUUAGAAAGAUUCAAAUUUGAAUAUUCUUCCACAAAGGCUACUGGGGUAAAGUGUGCACGACCUAAAUUAUCACAAGAAUAUGAAGAACCUUUUUGGGACUCGAAUGUUUCAUAAAACUGGGUAUAUGCCAAAUAAUUUUUUUGUUAUUUCCCCAUAAACUGUAAUACCGUUUCAUAUAA